AUUUACUCCACUGGCCAAACGUCACAAGGCUGAAUUUGCUGCCCUCUCCCUUGAUGUCGUCCCUCUUUCCAGGGGUUUUUGGCCUCUCAGGGAGGCUCGUAUGCUUUUGACCUGCUUUGCUGGGGUGUGUGUGAGGGGGGGUUAGGGUUAGAGCUCCAGGGUUCACAUCCAGAGUUAAUCUCCAUAUCCUUUGCACCCUCUCUGGAAACCUUUCAUUACCUCUUUAUUAGCUUAUAAAACUAAAACCAGCCCAAAAGGCUCCCAAGGUGAAGGCACUGUGGGGAAGGAAUCUCUAGGGACCCUUUGCCACCUUCUGGGAGGUCUUGGCAAGGGCGAAUUGCGCCUCCCUGUGCCAAUUGGCUUGGCCCUUUCGCCCAUCUGGAUAAGCCUUGACAAUGCCAUUUUCCUCUUGUGCUUUUAACAGCUUUUGGUCCACAAAUUUGAAAUGGCUCUGGCAGGAGCUUUCCCCCUUGCCUCUUCAUUUCAUGCGAAAGGGUUUGUGGCUGUUAGUGACAUCCUAGAGGAGGAAAUAUUUCAAUUGAAUUGAACGUAAUUCAUUCCCCCCACCCCCGUUUUUCAGAACACAGCAGCUCACCUGAAGGUCUGCUCACCAGUUGUCCGGAGCAGCCCACCUCCGUAGAAGAUGACGGGUGAGGCCUACCUUACCGGAACCUCCGUUGACCUUCCUGAAUCCUUCUUAAAGCUUCAACUGAGCUGCUAGCCUUUCCUAGCUGCUAAAGGGUGUGAUGUCAUGGGUGGAUCUGAUGACAUCACAGAGGAGAAGAGCAGGUCACAGAACCUGAAGGAGGGGAAGCCAAGGCCCUGCCCCCCCACCCCCCUUGCCCAAUAGCUGAGGAAAAGUGACUUCCAACCCUCCAUGUUGAGCUGGUGUCUGGAUUUUGGAGAAAUGCUGAGCGUGAAAAACCUUCUUCUUGGAAAUGCAACUCCCGAACCACUCAAGUCCUUUGAAUUUGGCACACGCCUGGCCCGUGACCACCUCUGUGGUGACCUAGGUGCUGAGGACUCUGACCAUGGACUCUUCAGGCUCAAAGGUGUUGCCCCACCAGCAGGCUCUGUCUGCCCCCCCCCCAAAAAAAAACAAUUCAGGUUGAAGGAAGGUGUCUCAUGUGUUCAUUAGAAAAGCA
RNAcentral lists this long non-coding RNA (1145 nucleotides) under Pogona vitticeps (central bearded dragon). Its description in RNAcentral is "lncRNA (ENSPVIG00000016240.1)". Lineage: Eukaryota; Metazoa; Chordata; Lepidosauria; Squamata; Agamidae. The record is from RNAcentral.